RNAcentral lists this ribosomal RNA (403 nucleotides) under uncultured bacterium. RNAcentral describes it as "bacterial SSU rRNA". It matches the Rfam family "Bacterial small subunit ribosomal RNA", at positions 8 to 425 of the family's 1533-position model. The record is from RNAcentral.
AGAGUUUGAUCCUGGCUCAGAAUCAACGCUGGCGGCGUGCCUAACACAUGCAAGUCGAACGAGAAAGUGGAGCAAUCCAUGAGUAAAGUGGCGACCGGGUGAGUAACACGUGACUAACCUACCUUUGAGUGGGGGAUAACAUCGGGAAACCGAUGCUAAUACCGCAUAACAUCGCAAGAUCAAAGCAGCAAUGCGCUUAAAGAGGGGGUCGCGGCUGAUUAGCUAGUUGGCGGGGUAACGGCCCACCAAGGCGAAGAUCGGUAUCCGGCCUGAGAGGGCGCACGGACACACUGGAACUGAAACACGGUCCAGACUCCUACGGGAGGCAGCAGUGGGGAAUUUUGCGCAAUGGGGGAAACCCUGACGCAGCAACGCCGCGUGGAGGAUGAAGUCCCUUGGGACG